Molecule: ribosomal RNA, 274 nt
Filed under: uncultured bacterium
Lineage: Bacteria
Description: partial 16S ribosomal RNA
Rfam family: Bacterial small subunit ribosomal RNA
Source: RNAcentral
CUACGAAGGGGGCUAGCGUUGUUCGGAAUUACUGGGCGUAAAGCGCGCGUAGGCGGAUUGGUCAGUUAGGGGUGAAAUCCCAGGGCUUAACCCUGGAACUGCCUCUAAUACUGCCAGUCUUGAGUUCGGGAGAGGUGAGUGGAAUUCCUAGUGUAGAGGUGAAAUUCGUAGAUAUUAGGAAGAACACCAGUGGCGAAGGCGGCUCACUGGCCCGAUACUGACGCUGAGGCGCGAAAGCGUGGGGAGCAAACAGGAUUAGAUACCCUAGUAGUCC